This 443-nucleotide ribosomal RNA is filed under the name uncultured bacterium. RNAcentral's name for it is "partial 16S ribosomal RNA". It matches the Rfam family "Bacterial small subunit ribosomal RNA", at positions 338 to 795 of the family's 1533-position model. The record is from RNAcentral.
CCUACGGGUGGCAGCAGUGAGGAAUAUUGGUCAAUGGGCGCAAGCCUGACCCAGCAACGCAGCGUGAAGGAAGAAGGCUCUCUGGUUGUAAACUUCUUUUCUCAGGGACGAAGCAAGUGACGGUACCUGAGUAUUAAGCCACGGCUAACUACUUGCCAGCAGCCGCGGUAAUACGUAGGUGGCAAGCGUUAUCCGGAUUUACUGGGUGUAAAGGGAGUGUAGGCGGGAAAGCAAGUCAGAUGUGAAAACCAUGGGCUCAACCUGAGGACUGCAUUUGAAACUGUUUUUCUUGAGUACUGGGGAGGUAGACGGAAUUCGUGGUGUAGCGGUGAAAUGCGUAGAUAUUAGGAGGAACACCAGUGGCGAAGGCAGUCUGCUGGACAGUAACUGACGCUGAGGCGCGAAAGCGUGGGGAGCAAACAGGAUUAGAUACCCGAGUAGUC